GUUUUGUCAAAGCAUCUUGGGAUUUGGGGGGUCUGGUGUACACAGUACUGGAGACUGUAUCUUCAGAAGGAUAUUGAUACCUUAGAGAGAGUUCAGAGAAGGGCUACUAAACUGGUUCAUGGAUUGCUUAUCUCCUUUAGUGGAGGUUUUAUUAUUUUUGUAUUGAGACAUAUUUUGGGGGGUUGUUAGAGAUCUCUGCUGGUGUACGUUUCUGAGUUUAAGGAGCCCAUAUGCCGGAGCAGAUCAGUGUGCGGCCAUCUUGCUCGGUGGUCAGCCCCCCCCACAAAACGGCUUUUAAAAUAAUUUAUCUGCACUUGUGGGCUAAACUAGUCUGUAUGGAAAAAAUACCAAAGUAUGAUAACCUUUUCUGGUUAUUGGUCUAAAAUGUGAAAUUCUUUAAUCAAUAGCUUCACUCUAGGUUUGUUUUUGGUUUCAAGAACAGAGAGACAGAGGCUGUGAAUUACAGGAACAGUAAGAGACUGGGAAUGUGAAUUACAGGAACAGUAAGAGACUGGGAAUGUGAAUUACAGGAACAGUAAGAGACUGGGGAUGUGAAUUACAGGAACAGAAAGAGACUGGGGAUGUGAAUUACAGGAACAGUAAGAGACCGGGUAUGUGAAUGACAGGAACAUAAAGAGACUGGGGAUGUGAAUUACAGGAACAGAAAGAGACUGGGGAUGUGAAUUACAGGGACAGAAAGAGAC
Molecule: non-coding RNA, 704 nt
Organism: Pelobates cultripes (western spadefoot toad)
Lineage: Eukaryota; Metazoa; Chordata; Amphibia; Anura; Pelobatidae
Source: the annotation of a GenBank genome assembly